This 119-nucleotide ribosomal RNA is filed under the name Candidatus Geothermarchaeota archaeon. Lineage: Archaea; Thermoproteati; Candidatus Geothermarchaeota. The record is from RNAcentral. RNAcentral also lists the same sequence under 1 other name.
AGUAGCGGCCAUAGCACGCGGGAAAUACCCGGUCUCAUUCCGAACCCGGAAGUCAAGCCGCGUGUCGCUCCGUAGUAGCGGGGUGCGGGAGCCCCCGUGAAAGCGGAGUGCUGCUACUC